RNAcentral lists this ribosomal RNA (468 nucleotides) under uncultured bacterium. RNAcentral describes it as "partial 16S ribosomal RNA". It matches the Rfam family "Bacterial small subunit ribosomal RNA", at positions 28 to 507 of the family's 1533-position model. The record is from RNAcentral.
GACGAACGCUGGCGGCGUGCUUAACACAUGCAAGUCGAACGGAAAGGCCCUGCUUUUGUGGGGUGCUCGAGUGGCGAACGGGUGAGUAACACGUGAGUAACCUGCCCUUGACUUUGGGAUAACUUCAGGAAACUGGGGCUAAUACCGGAUCGGAGCUCCUGCUGCAUGGUUGGGGUUGGAAAGUUUCGGCGGUUGGGGCUGGACUCGCGGCUUAUCAGUUUGUUGGUGGGGUAGUGGCUUACCAAGGCUUUGACGGGUAGCCGGCCUGAGAGGGUGACCGGCUACAGUGGGACAGAGGUACGGCCAAUACGCAUACGGGAGGCAGCAGUGGGAAAUAUUGCACAAUGGGCGGAAGCAGGAUGCAGCAACGCCGCGUGCGGGAUGACGGCUGUCGGGUUGUAAACCGCUUUCGCGUGUGACGAAGCGUGAGUGACGGUAAUGGGUAAAGAAGCACCGGCUAACUACGUG